Molecule: RNA transcript, 2872 nt
Organism: Magnolia sinica
Lineage: Eukaryota; Viridiplantae; Streptophyta; Magnoliopsida; Magnoliales; Magnoliaceae
Gene name: probable protein phosphatase 2C 78
Exons: 6
Source: RefSeq, a predicted model, not a curated record
AAUGUCACAUUCGCCCGUCGAAAGACGAGACAUUUUACGCGCGGCGAACGAAGAUCAUACGAAGCAGGCAAACACAGAGAGAGAGAGAGAGAGAGAGAGAGAGAGAGAGAGAGAUGCUCCAUACGUGUUACAGGCCGAUUGGUCGGUGCUUGGGUCGCAGGACUGGAGACUCCCUCCUAUGGCACAAGGACCUGAAGCCCCAUGCCUCGGGAGAUUUCUCGAUCGCCGUGGUGCAGGCGAAUUCCUCGCUCGAGGACCAGGCUCAGGUCCUGACGUCCCCUUCCACGACCUACAUCGGCGUCUACGAUGGCCAUGGCGGACCAGACGCCUCCCGCUUCAUCACCACCCAUCUCUUCCCCCACCUCCACGAGUUCGCCACCGAGCAAGGCGGGCUGUCCGUGGAUGUUAUAAAGAAGUCGUUUGAUGCGACAGAGGAGAAAUUCUUGCAGCUGGUGAAGCAUUCGUGGCCUGCCCGGCCGCAGAUGGUGUCGGUCGGAUCGUGCUGCUUGGUGGGGGCCAUCAAGGAUGGCAUCCUGUACGUUGCAAAUCUGGGGGAUUCACGGGCGGUGUUGGGACGGAAGGUGGUUGGCGGGCCGAGUACUAGGGGUGUUCAGGUGAGGGCAGAGCGGUUGUCGACAGAUCAUAAUGUGGGGGAGGAGGAGGUGAGGAGGGAGGUGAAAGAACAACAUCCGGAUGAUCCACAGAUUGUCGUGCAUAGUCGAGGGGUUUGGCGGAUUAAGGGCAUUAUUCAGGUGUCAAGAUCCAUUGGAGAUGUCUAUCUGAAGAAACCCGAGUUCACCGGGGACCCUCUUUACCAGCAGUUUGCUGUCCAGGUUCCUCUGAAGCGAUCAGUUAUGUCUGCAGAACCAUCAAUACAGAUUCGGAGGCUCAAACAACACGACUUAUUCUUGAUAUUUGCAUCUGAUGGCCUGUGGGAGCAAUUAAGCGAUGAAAUGGCCGUAGAGAUCGUCUUCAAGAGCCCGCGAGCGGGCAUAGCGAAGCGACUGGUGAGGGCCGCUCUCACUGAGGCUGCCAGGAAGAGGGAAAUGAGAUACGAUGACAUCAAAAGGAUAGAGAAGGGUAUACGGCGCCAUUUCCACGAUGACAUAUCUGUGAUCGUGAUAUAUCUCGACCACCAUCUACGGCCCUCUAGAUUCAAGGGCAGUACCGAGUGCACUAGCUCCCCGGUUGACAUCUUUUCUCACAAUGCCGGUGUUUCAGAUGAGGACCCUCUUCGGCCCGUGUCAUAAAAAGACUCUACUGUGUCCCACCGAGGUGCUGGUAUACUGACCAUUUCCUCAUGAAUAACAAUUAUAAGUGUGUGUGUGUGUGUGUUACAUACAUACAUACAUACACUCAUAUCAGAUGCUUUGUUGAUGCUUAUGGCUGGAUGUAUAGCUCCAUCUAACACCUGAGGCGGAGAGAUUUGAGCUUUGAAUGAGUUACACGAGGAAAUCCGCUAACCAUAGUGUGGGUAGAGCCCUUCCCAUCCACAUGCAUGCACGUGCCAAUGUAGCACAAGGGUGCAAGAUCUGAGCUUUCCAUCAGGUGGGCCACUCUGUUUUAUUCUUGUGGCCUACAAAAUGAGCUGCUUCACUUGGGUGGGUGGCAGUGUAAAAGCAAUUGGAGAGCUAAAAGAUUUGCUUUUGAGCUUUCAGUUUGUGUUUUCAGUGCUGCUUGCCUGGUAACCGAGACCUAAUCGGUAUGCCCCACCUGAUGGUAAGCUUGGAUCUUGCGCCCAUGUGGAAUAUUGGAUGUCUACCUGCAUGUAGAUGGGUGGGGCUUUACAAGGGUUUGGAGGUAGCAGAUACAGCGUACAUAGUCGGGGUGUAGAGACAGUUGCUGAUAGGAGGAAGCUGGUAGUUUUCUUCUAUUCAAGACUUCACUGGGAACUUAGUUCAGAUGUGGCAAAACGUGACCACUUGGCAUGUGAGGAACAUCCGAGCUGUCCAUCAGGUUGGGGCCUGGCCAGGAAUUAGGUAGCCAUGCUUGUCAAGGAAGCCAGCUUGUGAAGCAAAUGGGGCAUUUAUGGUGGUCUGACUAAUGGACCAUCAUUGGAUGCCUCAUGUGGUGGACGUGGAGGUGGUACAUGGUCUGGGUGGUGCCCGAGGUGUGGCGCCGAAUCUACAGUGCAAUCUCCCGCGUUGAGGUUGGCAAUUGAAUCCAAUCUCAAUAAGAGCAAGAGAAGGAAAAAUUUCCUUCUCAUCCUCUCUACUAGGGGAAAAUCAAUUUUCAUUCUUUUUAUUUAUUUAUUUAUUUAUUAAAAGCAUCUUACAAUGUUUCCAACAUUGGUAUUCAUAGAACAGUUGUAACUAACCUCUAACUAAUAUUGGUGAUUAGUACUAAUCACAAUUAACCUUCAACUAAUUAAAAUAAACUCUAACAACCUUAUAAAUUCUUGACAGAACUAAUAGGUUAAGGAAAUGAUCACAGUAACUUCAAAAAAGUCCGAAAUUACCAAAGUCCUCUAAAAAUAUAGAUGACCAUGUUGUUGGCAUUUGACCUAAGGGAUGGAUUGCACAUGGCAUUCCUAUUUAGAUAAGUUUAGACGACUUUUAUCAACAUGAUGAGCAUCCAAUGGGCCCACACGGAUGUGGUCCUAAACAUGUUUUAUAGUUCAUUUUCUUCUUAUUAGGACCCUUUUUUUUUUUUUUGGGUUUUUGUUUUUGUUUUUGUUUUCUUGAAGAGAGUUCUGGAUAUGUAAGUGGGGAGAUCCUCGCUUACAGGUAGAUAUCUCCACCUGAAAUUCAACACACACAUGCACAUACAUAAAUAUAUGUAUAGAUAUGUGGAUGUGUAUGUGUGCAUUCUCAGUCCCAAAUCUAUUGAUUUGGCAAUCAGCUCCAAAGAGCCUCAAUUAAUUUUCUUGUGC